Molecule: ribosomal RNA, 434 nt
Filed under: uncultured bacterium
Lineage: Bacteria
Description: partial 16S ribosomal RNA
Rfam family: Bacterial small subunit ribosomal RNA
Source: RNAcentral
ACGGGAGGCAGCAGUGGGGAAUAUUGCACAAUGGGGGAAACCCUGAUGCAGCGACGCCGCGUGAACGAUGAAGUAUUUCGGUAUGUAAAGUUCUAUCAGCAGGGAAGAUAAUGACGGUACCUGACUAAGAAGCACCGGCUAAAUACGUGCCAGCAGCCGCGGUAAUACGUAUGGUGCAAGCUUUAUCCGGAUUUACUGGGUGUAAAGGGUGCGUAGGUGGCAUGGCAAGUCUGAAGUGAAAUGCGGGGGCUCAACCCCUGAACUGCUUUGGAAACUGUCAAGCUUGAGUACAGGAGAGGAAAGCGGAAUUCCUAGUGUAGCGGUGAAAUGCAUAGAUAUUAGGAGGAACACCAGUGGCGAAGGCGGCUUUCUGGACUGUAACUGACACUGAGGCACGAAAGCGUGGGGAGCAAACAGGAUUAGAUACCCUGGUA